GGCGCAUUCGUCUAGUGGCCUAGGACGCCGCCCUCUCAAGGCGGAGAUCACGGGUUCGACCACCUUACACGCCG
Molecule: transfer RNA, 74 nt
Filed under: SAR202 cluster bacterium AC-647-N09_OGT_505m
Lineage: Bacteria; Bacillati; Chloroflexota; Dehalococcoidia
Rfam family: tRNA
About the family: Transfer RNA (tRNA) molecules are approximately 80 nucleotides in length. Their secondary structure includes four short double-helical elements and three loops (D, anti-codon, and T loops). Further hydrogen bonds mediate the characteristic L-shaped molecular structure. tRNAs have two regions of fundamental functional importance: the anti-codon, which is responsible for specific mRNA codon recognition, and the 3' end, to which the tRNAs corresponding amino acid is attached (by aminoacyl-tRNA synthetases). tRNAs cope with the degeneracy of the genetic code in two manners: having more than one tRNA (with a specific anti-codon) for a particular amino acid; and 'wobble' base-pairing, i.e. permitting non-standard base-pairing at the 3rd anti-codon position.
Source: Rfam by way of RNAcentral